GGGAGAGUAUGGUUGCAAAGCUGAAACUUAAAGGAAUAGGUGGAAGGGACCACCAGGAGUGGAGCCUGUGGCUUAAUUUGACUCAACAUGGGAAGAAUCACCCAGCCCAGACACGGACAGGAUUGACAGACUGAUAGCUCUUUCUCUGUUCCAUGGGUGGUGGUGCAUGGCCUUAGUUGGUGGAGUGUUUUGUCUGGUUAAUUCCGAUAACCAAGGAGACUCUGACAUGCUAACUAGUUAUGCGACCCCUGAGCGUCGGGGUCCCCCAACUUCUUGGAAGGACAAGUGGCGUUCAGCCACCCGAAAUUGAGUAAUAACAGGUCUGUGAUGCCCUUAGAUGUCCGGGGCUGCACGUGCGCUACACUGACUGGCUCAGCAUGUGCCUACCCUACGUGGCAGAGGCGGGUAACCUGUUGAACCCCAUUCGUGAUGGGGAUGGGAGAUUGCUAUUCCCCAUGAGGGAGGAAUUUCCAGUAAGUGCUGGUCACAAGCUUGCCUGAAGUCCCUGCCCUAGGUACACACUGCCCCUCGCUACUACUGAUAGGAUGGUUUAGUGAGGCCCUCGGAUCGGCCCUGCCGGGUCAGCCCACUGCCCUGGCAGAGCGCUGAGAAGACAGUCGAAUUUGACUAUCUAGAGGAAGUAAAAAUCUUAACAAAGUUUCGGUAGGUGAACCUGCGGAGG
Molecule: non-coding RNA, 682 nt
Filed under: Gorilla gorilla gorilla (western lowland gorilla)
Lineage: Eukaryota; Metazoa; Chordata; Mammalia; Primates; Hominidae
Description: Eukaryotic small subunit ribosomal RNA
Rfam family: Eukaryotic small subunit ribosomal RNA
Source: Rfam by way of RNAcentral